This 718-nucleotide ribosomal RNA is filed under the name Limosilactobacillus mucosae. RNAcentral's name for it is "bacterial SSU rRNA". It matches the Rfam family "Bacterial small subunit ribosomal RNA", at positions 388 to 1099 of the family's 1533-position model. Lineage: Bacteria; Bacillati; Bacillota; Bacilli; Lactobacillales; Lactobacillaceae. The record is from RNAcentral.
GGAGCACACCGCGUGAGUGAAGAAGGGUUUCGGCUCGUAAAGCUCUGUUGUUAGAGAAGAACGUGCGUGAGAGCAACUGUUCACGCAGUGACGGUAUCUAACCAGAAAGUCACGGCUAACUACGUGCCAGCAGCCGCGGUAAUACGUAGGUGGCAAGCGUUAUCCGGAUUUAUUGGGCGUAAAGCGAGCGCAGGCGGUUUGAUAAGUCUGAUGUGAAAGCCUUUGGCUUAACCAAAGAAGUGCAUCGGAAACUGUCAGACUUGAGUGCAGAAGAGGACAGUGGAACUCCAUGUGUAGCGGUGGAAUGCGUAGAUAUAUGGAAGAACACCAGUGGCGAAGGCGGCUGUCUGGUCUGCAACUGACGCUGAGGCUCGAAAGCAUGGGUAGCGAACAGGAUUAGAUACCCUGGUAGUCCAUGCCGUAAACGAUGAGUGCUAGGUGUUGGAGGGUUUCCGCCCUUCAGUGCCGCAGCUAACGCAUUAAGCACUCCGCCUGGGGAGUACGACCGCAAGGUUGAAACUCAAAGGAAUUGACGGGGGCCCGCACAGCGGUGGAGCAUGUGGUUUAAUUCGAAGCUACGCGAAGAACCUUACCAGGUCUUGACAUCUUGCGCCAACCCUAGAGAUAGGGCGUUUCCUUCGGGAACGCAAUGACAGGUGGUGCAUGGUCGUCGUCAGCUCGUGUCGUGAGAUGUUGGGUUAAGUCCCGCAACGAGCGC